GGAUUAUUCGGCAGGUCGCCCGGUGUCAGUAUUACAGCGUGGAUGAUCCGGAGAAACCGUUUGACGGAAAUUCGGAAAAUUGAAUGUUCAUGGUGUGACAGUGUGCUAGUGCGCCCACACAAGCAGAUCAUGUUACGUCUGGACUGCAGGAUUCAGAAAGAGCCCUUUCUACUUAAAUAUCUUCAGUAUCUUCACUGACAGAGAUAUUCUACACUCUUUGCAAUGUCAGUCCAUUUUAAUUUAAAGGAUUGCGCAUAUUGAUUUCAAAAGGGGUGUGCUGGAACUUGGAAAACGUAGCCGGUUUCAUCUGCUGCGUAAUGCAUAUGAUGCGGCAUCCUCAUUUACCGGAGUUGUGCGUAAGUUUCGCGCACCGGAGUAAGUUUAUGCGUACCGGAGUUGUGCUGGUUAAGGGCCAAAACGCGAGAGGCUGUGCGUCGGAAGUGUUUCUGGUCGUUCCUUUAAAUUCUGUAGUCUGUAAACUCCGACGACCAAACCUUUAGCGCCGAGUUUCAAGUUCAAC
This is a long non-coding RNA of Paramacrobiotus metropolitanus, 520 nucleotides long. RefSeq lists it as uncharacterized. The transcript has 3 exons. Lineage: Eukaryota; Metazoa; Tardigrada; Eutardigrada; Parachela; Macrobiotidae. The record is from RefSeq and is a predicted model, not a curated record.